Molecule: transfer RNA, 64 nt
Organism: Cavia porcellus (domestic guinea pig)
Lineage: Eukaryota; Metazoa; Chordata; Mammalia; Rodentia; Caviidae
Rfam family: tRNA
About the family: Transfer RNA (tRNA) molecules are approximately 80 nucleotides in length. Their secondary structure includes four short double-helical elements and three loops (D, anti-codon, and T loops). Further hydrogen bonds mediate the characteristic L-shaped molecular structure. tRNAs have two regions of fundamental functional importance: the anti-codon, which is responsible for specific mRNA codon recognition, and the 3' end, to which the tRNAs corresponding amino acid is attached (by aminoacyl-tRNA synthetases). tRNAs cope with the degeneracy of the genetic code in two manners: having more than one tRNA (with a specific anti-codon) for a particular amino acid; and 'wobble' base-pairing, i.e. permitting non-standard base-pairing at the 3rd anti-codon position.
Source: Rfam
GGGGAUUUAGCUCAGCGGCAUAAGCGCCUGUCUUGCAAACAGGCAGUUGUGAGUUCGAUCCCCA